This 71-nucleotide transfer RNA is filed under the name Paramuricea clavata. It matches the Rfam family "tRNA". From Rfam's summary of the family: Transfer RNA (tRNA) molecules are approximately 80 nucleotides in length. Their secondary structure includes four short double-helical elements and three loops (D, anti-codon, and T loops). Lineage: Eukaryota; Metazoa; Cnidaria; Anthozoa; Malacalcyonacea; Plexauridae. The record is from Rfam by way of RNAcentral.
GUGUUGGUGGUUCAGUGGCAGAAUUCUCGCCUGCCACGCGGGAGACCGGGGUUCGAUUCCCCGCCAACGCA